This 533-nucleotide ribosomal RNA is filed under the name uncultured bacterium. Its description in RNAcentral is "bacterial SSU rRNA". It matches the Rfam family "Bacterial small subunit ribosomal RNA", at positions 777 to 1304 of the family's 1533-position model. The record is from RNAcentral.
AAUAGAUACCCUGGUAGUCCUAGCUGUAAACGAUGAGCACUGGGUUGAGGGGACUUCCACAUCCUCUCGGCCGUAGCGAAAGCGUUAAGUGCUCCGCCUGGGGAGUAUGGCCGCAAGGCUGAAACUCAAAGGAAUUGACGGGGGCUCACACAAGCGGUGGAGGAUGUGGCUUAAUUCGAGGCUACGCGAAGAACCUUAUCCUAGAUUUGACAUGGUUGAGAAUCUCCUUGAAAGAGGAGAGUGCCCUUCGGGGAGCUCUUUCACAGGUGCUGCAUGGCUGUCGUCAGCUCGUGUCGUGAGAUGUUGGGUUAAGUCCCUUAACGAGCGAAACCCUUAUCUUUAGUUGCCAGCGGGUCAAGCCGGGGACCCUAAAGAGACUGCCGGUGUCAAACCGGAGGAAGGUGGGGAUGACGUCAAGUCCUCAUGGCCUUUAUGUCUAGGGCUGCACACGUCCUACAAUGGCACGUACAAAGGGAAGCCAAGCCGCGAGGCCGCGCUAAUCCCAAAAAGCGUGCCCCAGUUCGGAUUGCAGG